AAAAAUAGUAGAGAUCUCUUCUUGCUCUCUCUCCCUUUUCUUGCGGCUAGGGUUUUGAAACCCCUCAUCGCCGUUGUUGCCACGGUGCCACCACAAGGCGGUGGUAAGGGCGGUGCGAGCUGGCCUACCCUGAGGUGUCCCCGAAGGCCAAGCCUUCUUAACCCAAAAGUUGCGAAAGAAAGGUCUUCCCCUCCUUAGUCGGUCCGAUCCCGGUGACGGAGGAGAGCCCUCCGUGAAGAAAUCACGAGCGAUUCCGGUGAGACCUUCUUCCUUUUUAUUAUUUUUUUUCGUGCACACUUUUUAAAUGGAUUUGUAGUAAAAAUAAAAUGAAAGGAAAAUAAAAAAAACGAAUAGAAAACAAGAAUAAGAAUCGAAAUCAACCUUAAACUUUGUUCUGCUCUUUGAUUAAAAUGUAUGCGUAAAAAAAUACAAAUAACAUAUUUUCGCUUUUAAAGCAGAUCUACAAUCCGUUGGCCUUUUGUUUUUACUUUUUGCUAUUUACUCAUCUGCUUCUCGCGUGCUUUCUUUGCUGCUAUUUUUGAUUUGGUUGCAGGUGUUGCGCGACGAAUGGAAGAGGUGGCGUGUGGUGCGAUGAAACGGCGCGCGUUGGUGGCCAUGCUGGUGGGGAGCGGCGGCUGAAGGCUUGGUGGCUAGGGUUUGCUGAAAAUUUUAUUUGUGUUGUGGGCUUGGACUAUUAGGGUUUGUAAAUUAGGUUUGGGUAUUGUCUUAUUUGGGCCAUUUUAAUAUAUAAAGGGACUGUUAAUAAACAUUUGGAUUUUCACCCAUUUUUGGUUAUUUUGUUUUUAAAACAUGGGUCAAAAUUGGCUAUUACACCACUCAAUAGAAAAUCCCUCAUAGAUUGUCCUUGCCUCGAUUUAAAAACUCUUGAUUUACAAUUGUCAUUGCAAAGCCAAGUAACUAGCCUCCAACUUGAUUUUGAAACACUCCCCCUACUGCAACAUAGGAUUUUUUUAAAAGAGAUGCGAUCCUCAGUGUUAUUUUUCACCCACCUAUCAAUGGUGGUUGCCAGACACUUUUUGUAUGUAUAUUGUUGUGAAGACUAACUGCAUUUUUGGUAUAAGUAAAGUUUCUAGUCCAAGUUAUACUAGUGGCAAUCAAGGUAGCACUGCUAUAGCAUGUAUCUUUAAAAACAAGAUCAUCCCUGUGCUUCCAUAUUAGCCAAUAACCAGUUGAAAACAGAGUUUUCGAUUCUCCAUAAACAACUGUGAGUCCAUAAGAAUUGCACAUAUUUGCAUUAAGCUAGACUUCCAAGGAAGAAGAGAAAUAUGAAUGCCAAACAUUUUGAUUUACCAAUGAUUUCCAAAUGCCAGUCGCAUAUAGACAGUCUCUAAUAGCAUGUAGAGUUGUUUCAAUAAAACCACCACAGUAUGCACAAUGGUCAUCUCCUGUCAUUCCCCUCUUAACUUGUAUCUCACUAGUAAGUAGUCAAUUUUGUAGCAAUAGCCAAAGAAAGGUUUUCACCCUCUAUGGAGUAGGUCUCUUCCAAACACUUGAAAGAACCCUGUAGUUUGCUAGCUCUCUUUGCUCCAUAAAGUGACUAUAGGUUUCAGCUGAAAAGAAAACACCUUUCGACAUCCACCUCCAAGCCAAGCAAUCGAGGGCAAAUUCUAUGGCUAGUGGCAUAAUUGUAGCAAUGCGAACGAUGACAUUCCUUGGUAGCUUAGUUUCAAGCAAACUCCAAUCCCAUGAGCCAGUGUCAGUCACCACAUCACAAACUCUCAGAGUUUCAUCAAUACAACCCCUGCCUAUAUAAAAAGAUUUUAGAGGGCCUACACUCUCCACCCAGAAAUUAUUCCAGAAAUUGACUAGACAGACAUCUCCAAUCAUCCAAAUGGUAUCUUCUUUAAUCUCACUCCACUGGUUGGAAAGCGAACGCCAGAGAUGCGAACAAUUAUUUCAUUCAAUGAAUUCGGGUAAUACCCCAUGGACAUUAUAUUUGUUCUUUACCAUACGAACCCAGAGUGCAUUAGUACUGGUUAGGAUGUUGUAACCCAUCUUUAGUAAGAAAAUCUUAUUUGAUCCGUAAGUGAUCGGAUGUGUGACAGCCCUAAAGUGACCCUAGUCGGAAAGCGGUCUCGGGACCGCUAGACCGAGUCACCAAAUUAUUUGAAUGUGAUAAUUAUUGCCUAAAAUAUGUGAAUAUAAAUGUGUGAAAGUUUUAAGCUUCGAUUUAGUUAAUUGCAUGUGAAUUUAGUUGAUAGGACUUAUGUGAGAAAAUUUAGAAAUGUGCUAGGCAAAUGCAAGUGGCCUAAUAGUGCAUGUAAUCAAAGGGGUGGACUUGCAUGUCAAUUUCCCCCCAUUUAAGUACUAGUGGCCGGCCAUGACAAGGGACGAUGGGCAAAACAUGUCAUGAAACAUGUUGUGUUAAUGGAAAAAUAAAAUAAGAAGCAUGGGCAAUAAACUAAUAAGAAAUUGAAGGAAGAAAACAAAGAAAAAAAAUGUGUUCAUCAUUCUCAUGCAUGACCGAAAAAAAAAAGAAGGGAAAGGCUUCAUACUUUAGUUCUUCUUAGCCGUGUAGAAGGGGGAAAAGGGAAAAAAAAAAGAACAAAAAGUCUUUCUCAUUUUGUUCUUCUUGGCCGAUUGUGAAGAGGAAGUAGGGAGGGAGGCAUUUGGUCAUCCUAGGCUAAUAGCAAGGUAAGAAGUUUAUAUUAGUUCAUGAAAUUUUGGUUAAUCUUGAGUAAGAUAUCAAACUACUUUUGUAACCCAUGUAGAAAUUUUGAUUUGUGUUAUGGACUAGGGCUUUCGGCUAUGAUAUUUGACAAUGGUGAAUUUUGUUGUUCCAUGUUAAAUUUAGAUGAGCAAAGAUAGAUGAGUGUUUGAACUAUACAAAUAAUCAUAUGUGAGCAAUGGGUGCUAAAGGGAAAGAAAUCGGCUACCUUAUUAUGUACCAAGGCCGAAUGUGUACUUGGUAAAGGAGGGGUUGUUAUUGAACAGUAGGUCAUGUCCCUAGUGAAUGGAUGAAUUGAUAACCAUUGUGUAUGAAGAUUUGCUUUACUAUGUUUUUGCUAGCAAGAUGAGAAACGAGUUAAGAUGGUCUUGGUGUAAUUGCCGAAUGCAUGUUUAAGGAAUUGGUUAAGUACAUUGUUAUUAAAUGCUUGUUGUUAAGGAGUUUUGAGUUGGUUAUAAAUUGGGUUUAGUGUUCGAGGAACAUUGGUUUGGGCACCUAGUGCCGAAUGUGUUCAAACGCAACUUACCAAGUGCAUAAAUAUGAUAAUGCUAUGAUGGUAGACUUAAUUGGAAUUCGGCAUUGUAAGUGAUGCUUUGGGCUCUUGUGUUGGUUAGGGACAAAAUGUAUGUUAUGAGGAACUAAAUGAUGUAUAUGAAUUCGAAAAUGCAAGGUAUUAAGCUAGUCCUAUUAUUCGGUGGUGCAUGAGUAGAGCACAUGUAUAAUGCUUGAAUAACUAGUCAAUAAAAUUAUUCGCACCAAAUUGUAUAAUAUAAAUGUAUUUCAUCGAAUAGUUAAAUUGAUAAAUUAUUGAAUAACCUCUAUCUGUUUGAAUUAAGCUCAAGAGCUUAGAGGACCAAAGUUG
This 3551-nucleotide long non-coding RNA is filed under the name Gossypium barbadense (sea-island cotton). RNAcentral describes it as "long non-coding RNA (GBAR_LNC023147)". Lineage: Eukaryota; Viridiplantae; Streptophyta; Magnoliopsida; Malvales; Malvaceae. The record is from RNAcentral.